GCCAGUGGUUAAAAGCUCAGCUGUUAACUGAGAGGUUGGUGGUUCGAACCCACCCAGUGGCU
RNAcentral lists this transfer RNA (62 nucleotides) under Loxodonta africana (African savanna elephant). The record is from Rfam by way of RNAcentral. Lineage: Eukaryota; Metazoa; Chordata; Mammalia; Proboscidea; Elephantidae.